Molecule: non-coding RNA, 27 nt
Filed under: Cricetulus griseus (Chinese hamster)
Lineage: Eukaryota; Metazoa; Chordata; Mammalia; Rodentia; Cricetidae
Source: RNAcentral
UCCCAAGUAGAAGAUAAGCCAUGUGAG